CACCCUCGGGUGACAGGGAGACAGGUGGUGCAUGGUUGUCGUCGGCUCGUGUCGUGAGAUGUCGGGUUAAGUCCCGCAACGAGCGCAACCCCUACGUUUAGUUGCUAACGCGUGAAGGCGAGCACUCUAGACGAACUGCCGUUGACAAACGGAGGAAGGUGGGGAUGACGUCAAAUCAUCAUGCCCCUUAUGUUCUGGGCUGCACACGUGCUACAAUGGCCGGUACAGACGGACGCAAAGCCGCGAGGCGGAGCAAAUCCGAAAAAGCCGGUCUCAGUUCGGAUUGCAGGCUGCAAUUCGCCUGCAUGAAGUCGGAAUCGCUAGUAAUCGCAGGUCAGCAUACUGCGGUGAAUACGUUCCCGGGCCUU
This 368-nucleotide ribosomal RNA is filed under the name uncultured Pelotomaculum sp. RNAcentral's name for it is "bacterial SSU rRNA". It matches the Rfam family "Bacterial small subunit ribosomal RNA", at positions 1014 to 1382 of the family's 1533-position model. Lineage: Bacteria; Bacillati; Bacillota; Clostridia; Eubacteriales; Desulfotomaculaceae. The record is from RNAcentral.